UGCAAUCCGAUUGCAGGUGCUAUAGU
This 26-nucleotide non-coding RNA is filed under the name Homo sapiens (human). Lineage: Eukaryota; Metazoa; Chordata; Mammalia; Primates; Hominidae. The record is from RNAcentral.